UACGUAGGGUGCAAGCGUUGUCCGGAAUUAUUGGGCGUAAAGAGCUCGUAGGCGGUUUGUUGCGUCGGCUGUGAAAUCCCGAGGCUCAACCUCGGGUCUGCAGUCGAUACGGGCAAACUAGAGUGUUGCAGGGGAGACUGGAAUUCCUGGUGUAGCGGUGAAACGCGCAGAUAUCAGGAGGAACACCGGUGGCGAAGGCGGGUCUCUGGGCAACAACUGACGCUGAGGAGCGAAAGCGUGGGGAGCAAACAGG
This 253-nucleotide ribosomal RNA is filed under the name uncultured bacterium. RNAcentral describes it as "partial 16S ribosomal RNA". It matches the Rfam family "Bacterial small subunit ribosomal RNA", at positions 524 to 776 of the family's 1533-position model. The record is from RNAcentral.